AUUGUGUCAGGUGCUCUUAACCUUGCUGCUGCUAAAAAAUAUGAUUUGGAAGGGUGGUUUCCCGCAUCACAAACCUACAGAGAAUUGGUGUCCUGCUCAAACUGCACGGACUAUCAAGCACGGAGGCUUGGAAUCUGCUACGGGCAGAAAACGAACCGAUGUGUGGACAAAUCGGAGGGUGAUGGUCAGUCCAAGCCACGGAAGGAUGAACAGCAAUUCGUUCAUAUGCUGAACUCCACAUUGACUGCCACUGAGAGGACGAUUUGCUGCAUUCUGGAGACCUACCAGACGGAGGAUGGCGUUGAAGUGCCCAGGGCGCUGCAGCCGUACAUGGGUGGAAUAGAGUUCCUUCCUUUCGUGCAAAAUUUGUAAAUUGGAUUAUGUAGCAUACUGGCAGACUGUAUAUACCCUUUGAAAUUCGAUUUUAAGCUUAGGAUAUGCUGGAAGAGAA
This is a long non-coding RNA of Setaria italica (foxtail millet), 451 nucleotides long. RefSeq lists it as uncharacterized. NCBI's taxonomy places the organism in Eukaryota, Viridiplantae, Streptophyta, Magnoliopsida, Poales, Poaceae. The record is from RefSeq and is a predicted model, not a curated record. The transcript is spliced from 2 exons.